This 419-nucleotide ribosomal RNA is filed under the name Theileria annulata. Its description in RNAcentral is "SSU rRNA". It matches the Rfam family "Eukaryotic small subunit ribosomal RNA", at positions 442 to 901 of the family's 1831-position model. The record is from RNAcentral. Lineage: Eukaryota; Apicomplexa; Aconoidasida; Piroplasmida; Theileriidae.
UACCCAAUCCUGACACAGGGAGGUAGUGACAAGAAAUAACAAUACGGGGCUUAAAGUCUUGUAAUUGGAAUGAUGGGAAUUUAAACCUCUUCCAGAGUAUCAAUUGGAGGGCAAGUCUGGUGCCAGCAGCCGCGGUAAUUCCAGCUCCAAUAGCGUAUAUUAAAAUUGUUGCAGUUAAAAAGCUCGUAGUUGAAUUUCUGCUGCAUUGCUUGUGUCCCUCUGGGGUCUGUGCAUGUGGCUUUUUUCGGACGGAGUUUCUUUGUCUGAAUGUUUACUUUGAGAAAAUUAGAGUGCUCAAAGCAGGCUUUCGCCUUGAAUAGUUUAGCAUGGAAUAAUAAAGUAGGACUUUGGUUCUAUUUUGUUGGUUUUAGGUACCAAAGUAAUGGUUAAUAGGAACAGUUGGGGGCAUUCGUAUUUAA